Molecule: ribosomal RNA, 136 nt
Filed under: uncultured Acinetobacter sp.
Lineage: Bacteria; Pseudomonadati; Pseudomonadota; Gammaproteobacteria; Moraxellales; Moraxellaceae
Description: partial 16S ribosomal RNA
Rfam family: Bacterial small subunit ribosomal RNA
Source: RNAcentral
UGGGCGGAAGCCUGAUCCAGCCAUGCCGCGUGUGUGAAGAAGGCCUUUUGGCUGUAAAGCACUUUAAGCGAGGAGGAGGCGACUUAGAUUAAUACUCUAGGAUAGUGGACGUUACUCGCAGAAUAAGCACCAAAUC